This 606-nucleotide ribosomal RNA is filed under the name Citrobacter freundii. RNAcentral describes it as "bacterial SSU rRNA". It matches the Rfam family "Bacterial small subunit ribosomal RNA", at positions 52 to 647 of the family's 1533-position model. The record is from RNAcentral. Lineage: Bacteria; Pseudomonadati; Pseudomonadota; Gammaproteobacteria; Enterobacterales; Enterobacteriaceae.
CACAUGCAAGUCGAACGGUAGCACAGAGGAGCUUGCUCCUUGGGUGACGAGUGGCGGACGGGUGAGUAAUGUCUGGGAAACUGCCCGAUGGAGGGGGAUAACUACUGGAAACGGUAGCUAAUACCGCAUAACGUCGCAAGACCAAAGAGGGGGACCUUCGGGCCUCUUGCCAUCGGAUGUGCCCAGAUGGGAUUAGCUAGUAGGUGGGGUAACGGCUCACCUAGGCGACGAUCCCUAGCUGGUCUGAGAGGAUGACCAGCCACACUGGAACUGAGACACGGUCCAGACUCCUACGGGAGGCAGCAGUGGGGAAUAUUGCACAAUGGGCGCAAGCCUGAUGCAGCCAUGCCGCGUGUAUGAAGAAGGCCUUCGGGUUGUAAAGUACUUUCAGCGAGGAGGAAGGCGUUGUGGUUAAUAACCGCAGCGAUUGACGUUACUCGCAGAAGAAGCACCGGCUAACUCCGUGCCAGCAGCCGCGGUAAUACGGAGGGUGCAAGCGUUAAUCGGAAUUACUGGGCGUAAAGCGCACGCAGGCGGUCUGUCAAGUCGGAUGUGAAAUCCCCGGGCUCAACCUGGGAACUGCAUCCGAAACUGGCAGGCUAGAGU